UAUGCUUGGUGAGUGGGCGCGAGUUCUUCU
RNAcentral lists this small RNA (30 nucleotides) under Bombyx mori (domestic silkworm). RNAcentral describes it as "ovarian small RNA-23951". The record is from RNAcentral. Lineage: Eukaryota; Metazoa; Arthropoda; Insecta; Lepidoptera; Bombycidae.